GCUGACAUCCUGGAUACUAAAAUUAUAUCAUGGUCAUCUACUUUGAAGAUGAGCUGUGCAGGACAAUAAUUCCACUGCUUGGAUUGCAGCCACCAUACUGCUGGGGAGCAGAGAACGCAGGGAAGGGCCUUAUAGAUGUCAUGGAGAUCUAAGCCUUCCCCGUCUGCUGCCCCAGAACCUGUUUUAGUAUACCAGCCUUGAUUAUUUAAGAGUAACGUUAAAUUAGAUGAUGAAAUUCCUUUGAAAAGUAAAGGACAAGUAGCCUGCGGGGAAAUGCCAUAUGCUUUUAGCUGUAGCAAUUGACUGGAUGUUGACAGCCUGUGGAACUUUAGUCCAGGGAUGCCUAGGUGGAUCAGCGGUUGAGUGUCUGCCUUCGGCCCAGGGCAUGAUCCCGGGAUCCAGGAUCAGUCCCACAUCAGGCUCCUUGCAGGGAGCCUGCUUCUCCCUCAGCUUGUGUCUCUGCCUCUCUCUCUCUCAAUAUCUCUCUGUCUCUCUGUCUCUCUCUCUCUGUCACUAAUA
RNAcentral lists this long non-coding RNA (519 nucleotides) under Vulpes vulpes (red fox). RNAcentral describes it as "lncRNA (ENSVVUG00000022148.1)". The record is from RNAcentral. Lineage: Eukaryota; Metazoa; Chordata; Mammalia; Carnivora; Canidae.